CCUACGGGUGGCAGCAGUAGGGAAUCUUCCGCAAUGGGCGAAAGCCUGACGGAGCAACGCCGCGUGAGUGAUGAAGGUCUUCGGAUCGUAAAACUCUGUUAUCAGGGAAGAACAAAUGUGUAAGUAACUGUGCACAUCUUGACGGUACCUGAUCAGAAAGCCACGGCUAACUACGUGCCAGCAGCCGCGGUAAUACGUAGGUGGCAAGCGUUAUCCGGAAUUAUUGGGCGUAAAGCGCGCGUAGGCGGUUUUUUAAGUCUGAUGUGAAAGCCCACGGCUCAACCGUGGAGGGUCAUUGGAAACUGGAAAACUUGAGUGCAGAAGAGGAAAGUGGAAUUCCAUGUGUAGCGGUGAAAUGCGCAGAGAUAUGGAGGAACACCAGUGGCGAAGGCGACUUUCUGGUCUGUAACUGACGCUGAUGUGCGAAAGCGUGGGGAUCAAACAGGAUUAGAUACCCGAGUAGUC
RNAcentral lists this ribosomal RNA (465 nucleotides) under Escherichia coli. RNAcentral's name for it is "bacterial SSU rRNA". It matches the Rfam family "Bacterial small subunit ribosomal RNA", at positions 338 to 795 of the family's 1533-position model. The record is from RNAcentral. Lineage: Bacteria; Pseudomonadati; Pseudomonadota; Gammaproteobacteria; Enterobacterales; Enterobacteriaceae.